Neopsephotus bourkii (Bourke's parrot) is the source of this 2926-nucleotide long non-coding RNA. RefSeq lists it as uncharacterized. The record is from RefSeq and is a predicted model, not a curated record. The transcript is spliced from 3 exons. Lineage: Eukaryota; Metazoa; Chordata; Aves; Psittaciformes; Psittacidae.
UCCUGUGAGCUGAAAAUGAAAAUUCACUCUUUGUACUUUGAAUUGACCAUUUGCACUCACAUAAAUGGAACUUAAAGGAAUAUAGUCUCACCCUCCAGUUUAAUUUUAUACUAACAGCUGUAACAUAGGGUGGAAAUUGUUUUCAUCCCAAGGCUUUGCUGUACAUCCUUCUGUUAAUUUAGAAAUGGCAGUUUCACUUUUAAUGGCCAUUGUGGCAUCAAGAAAUGCGUGAAACAGAAGAAAUGGUUGCUAUUUUUAUGUGGUCUGCAAUAACUAGUUUUCCAUACCCUGAAUCCUGGCUUCUCUGCCCAGUACUUGCUAUUUAGAGAGCCCAAAUGGCAUCAUUAAUAAGACCUCUAAGCAAGGAAUAGUGGCAUUUCAUGGCACACUAACUGUGAUUAAAAAAUACAGUUUCUACAUUUUUCUCUAAGUAAAACUUAGAAAGGACUGACGUGGAAAAAAUGUGUAUUUGACAGAAGGAAAAGAACAAAUGACAGUGAAAUAGAAUAAUUCCAAACUUCAGAAAUGUAUUUUAAUUUUUAAUGCUUCUAAUUGCAAAGGAAAAAUAGUCACAUUUUUCUCAUUUUGAUAUGUUAGCAAUAAUUGCUGAAGAAGACUGACUAAUAGCAAGGUAGCCUUAAGGAAGGAAGAGCAAAUAAAAUGAAGUUUUUAUUAACAUGAAUAAGGAUCAUUUUAUUAUAGGAAACAGGAGUCUGAAUCACCUACCUGACAAAAACAGCCUUAGUUGAAUUGGCCAUGAAACAAAUGUAAAAUAUAGAAUCAUAAUAAAAGUGCUGGAAUGUUUUCUUAGAGGCAGUCCAAUCCUGUGUUGUGAGCCAAGCUAUCACCACACUACUUGUGACACAUGCUUGUCCUGUCUGGAGGCUCCACCUGCAAUCUCUUCCAUUGUUGAAUUGUCAUUAUAGUUGGGGAGUUUCCUAAUGCUCAAUUAAACUUGUGUUGCUGUAAUUUCAGCUUUUGUAGGCACAGAGAAGAGUUUAUUUCCUUCCACCAAUGCGCUGUCUUUUCCCAUCUUCUGCACUAAAUAAUCCCUAUCCUUUCCCACUUUCUCUAGGCCAUGUCCUUUGGAAGUCUGAUGAUUAUUCUGCUCUUUGGCAUUUCUUCCAACUUUUCCACAUCUCUCUUGAGCUGCUGGUACUUUAGAUGAAGCCUUACUGGUGUGAAAUGGUUUGGACAGAUUCCUGUGUCUUCUGUGCAAUACUCCUGUUAAGUGCCUUGGUAUCAUCUUUGCUUUGCAGCUGUAAGAUAUUGUUGACUCACACUGUGCUUGUAAAUGAAAUAACAACUUGGGCCUCAAUUCUGUUUGUGGUAUUUCACAUGCAGAAACAAAGCAAGCUGGCAUUUAGCAUCACUCUUGCUAAUCUCAUGUCUCAUUCUCCUACUCAAGAAAUUAACACAAGUAGCCUUUUAUGGAGGGAAGUAUUUAAAUGCUGCCCAUCAGUGAGGAAGAGUGUUUAGGAGCUCAACAGAUCCCUCAGUGGUUGUCCUGAAUUUCUGAAUUUCUAAUGUCUCAGAAGACUCAUUAUUAAUACCCAAAAAUAGCCAGAUGGCAUGAAACAGUAAAGGCCAAAUAAUUCAUCAUUCUACAGACUUGCAAUGGACUGGCCCCCAGAAAAAUCCGGGAUGGUUGAAAAUCUUUUCAUGUGCUGCAGGAGACAGCUCAUGCUGGAGCACCCAGAUCAGGUGCUUGUGAAAUCACCUGUUAUUUCAUGAAAGCCCAAUAGUUGUGAUGUUAUUUGUGUUAUUUUAAUUCUUUUGAUUCAAGCUGAUAACCAAUUUGGAGGUUACUGAGUUGCUUGUGCUACAUGAUGGUGCUAGACAUGGCCUUGAUGAAGUCCUGUUUAUUUAUGAAGCAUGAAAAAGUCUUCUUUCCUAGAAUGUUGGGUUAAGUAAAGCUCAGACUUUGCACAGUGUUUUGACUAAGGCCAGUGUUUUAACAAAAAUAACCAGCAAAAGUGCACUCUCAAAGUUUCCUCUUGCAUCAGCAGACACAAAAAGCCAUUUUCCUUUCUCCCUCUGUCCCUGACAUGUGCACGUGUUUGGGUUUUAUCUCACACAGACACAAAGCUCCAGGUUUCAAAUGCCCUUUUUGCACUUUCAGCGUAAGCCUCAAGGGAAGCCAUGCGAAUAAUGUGCAAUGUACAGAAGCUUUGCUAUGUGCCUGUCAUUGUUUCAGCUCUCUGAUUCUAGAGAGGUAUUUGUUAGUCUUUUUGGGCUUAUUUUAAGGAACAGUUAUGGUUACCCACCAAUUUCUGUGAAUUUCCAUGAAACAGAUCUUCAUUCCAGCUUAGCAGGACAUUCACACCAGUAAUUUGAAUACUGGUUUUACCUAAAUGUCUCCAGUAACACAUGUUGAGGGUGCAUCAUUCUUUUUAGGGUCUUUGUAUUUACUUGUUCUGAAAACCAGCCUUCCUCCCUGGUGUAUCGAGCACAUAUGCUUGCUGCCUGGACUAGUUUUGUACAUUUUAUCUUUGUAUUUAUUUCCUUGUGUGAAAAUGGGCAUUUUGAACAAUAGGAUACCAUAUGUGGCACAUGGUGAGAUCUGAAAGCCUUAAUUUUAAAACCAAUUACAUCCUAAAUGCAUCUGUCAAGUGAAUGGAAAACCUCUACAUCAAGUAGGGCUGACAAAAGAGAUGAAGAUGUAAUUGCUUCUGGUUUAGUCUAUUUUCUUCAGGAGGUUUAAAGCCUUUCCUGGUGGUCCUUGGGUGGUUCCCUGCAUCCCACUGACUUGCUCCAAUGGACUGAAUAAAUCAUUUUAUCUUUGGGCACAGAUAAUGGCAGUUUUUACCUCCACUGGGUGUCAAGAGGCUAAUGUGCACAGUGUAUAUCAACUACAAGAAUUUGCUUAUUAUGGUCAUUGCAGGCAAAAUGCUGGGAGCUGCUAAUUGGACAAAAUGGAGAAACA